This 216-nucleotide ribosomal RNA is filed under the name Glomeromycotina sp. Its description in RNAcentral is "partial small subunit ribosomal RNA". The stretch from base 75 to 216 matches the Rfam family "Eukaryotic small subunit ribosomal RNA", at positions 721 to 864 of the family's 1831-position model. Lineage: Eukaryota; Fungi; Glomeromycota. The record is from RNAcentral.
GGGUCAGUAGGUUGGUCGUGCCACCGGUACGUACUGGUCUCACUGAUUCCUCCUCCCUGAAGAACCGUAAUGCCAUUAAUUUGGUGUUGCGGGGAAACAGGACUAUUACUUUGAAAAAAUUAGAGUGUUCAAAGCAAGCUAACGCUUGAAUACAUUAGCAUGGAAUAAUGAAAUAGGACGAUCGGUCCUAUUUUGUUGGUUUCUAGGAUUGACGUA